This is a long non-coding RNA of Mus musculus (house mouse), 3438 nucleotides long. RefSeq annotates it as predicted gene, 46457. The transcript is spliced from 3 exons. The record is from RefSeq and is a predicted model, not a curated record. Lineage: Eukaryota; Metazoa; Chordata; Mammalia; Rodentia; Muridae.
AAGAAAGAAAGAAAGAAAGAAAGAAAGAAAGAAAGAAAGAAAGAGAGAGAAAGAGAGAAAGAAAUGACCAUGAACCCUAAGAGGCUCUUGGCACCUUGGUGGCUGAGAAAUGAAUCUGUCUCUCCAAUCCAACACUACAGAACCAACGCUACAACUCAGUCAGAAGACUGCCUGCCUCACAUGCAGGAGGCCCUAGGUUUGAUCCCCCACAGCACCCCAGAAACCUGUAAUCCCAGCAUUGGAGGGGGGUACCUAGGGGAUGGAAGCAAGAGAAUUAGAUUUUCAAGGUCACUCUCAGUUGCUCACAGAGUUAGAGGCCAGCCUGGGAUGCAUAUGAUCCUGCUCCAGAAAUAAAGUCAAUGUGUAAAUCUAGAAGUAGGCUGUGCUUCCAGGAGGGGGCUGCUCCUGAGAGUCUCUGUGUGAGCGGGGCUGUUAUGGUGACUCAUUGUUCCGCACACAAGGAUGACUUAGAAUCUAACUUUUCUGCCUUGUACAGUCCCAAGCACUGUGGUUGCAGGUGAGGGCUUAUUUUGGCCCAAGGCACUGGCCACCAGUAGAGUGCUGCUACAGUCAAUACUGUCCUUGGAGCAGAUCAUUCCUGUCAGCACCUCAGCUCAGAUAGGCCCUAUUGUUCUCUUUUCCUCCAAAGACUCAUCAUGGGAGCCUUCUGGGUGGUCCUCAUGGUCCUGAAGUAUGAUGCUGUCCCAGUUGUGACUGGCCUGUUGGUGUGAUUGUUUCUGCCACAAGCUCUACCUACCAAGCAUCUCUCUGCUUCUGUAGCGACCUCCCCUCUCUCUUACUCUUUCACAUUAGACACUGGUGACAACGCACAAGGCAUCCCUAGGAAUCCUGUCUUAGUUGUGCCCCAGAUUCACAUUCAACUAGCCUCUGAAGUUUAAAGACCAGACACUUCUCAGUACACCUGUCUGCAUCUUCACAACUUGGUUUGUUUGUUCAAAAUACAAGAAACACAUGUACACCUCCCACCAAAGGGGAGCUAGAGCAAAAGCAAACCCCACCCCCAGUGGCACCACCCAGGCCCCUGAAUGGCGAUUGUCUUCUUCCCAGGACAGAUCCUUGCCUUAGUCUUCAGCAUCUCACCGCCGUCAGCAAGCUCUAGGGCUGCUGUUUGUACAGUGAAUUUCAUGGAAUCGCAUCAGUACAUUAAGAACCAAAAUCCAAAUGCCGUUUGCUUCUCGUUUAGGAAAAACUCACAGAGUCACUGCGGUCAUGGUGUCUCUUUACAACAGUCAAACACUGACUAAGACAACAAGGAAACCUGUAGGUGAGUUGCCCCAAACUACACUGCACACUACCACACCUGGCUCUUCUAUGGCUGUUGGGAACUGAACUCGGGUCCUGAUGCUUACACACGAAGCCUUUCUUACUAAGCCAGACCCCGGCCUCUUCUUUUCACUUCUUAAAAGUUUCUGUUUUCUGGUUUCAGAGCUCAUAGUCACUAGGGCAAUCAGGCACACUGUCUCAACAGCUCAAGAAGACUAGGGUAACUAGCACAAGCAGGUGGCCUCAAGGCCACCCCCAUUGGGUGUGAGUGCACAGCACACCUCUUCAGGGAGAGCCAUCUUAGCAAUGGCUUACAUCCCAUGUUGUUACAUCCAUGCUCCCUUGGCAAUACCCACUUGGCUUUCAUGGGGUGUGGAGUUAAUUUAUUCAACAGGGGAGCCGGCUCUUCCAUCUGUUCGCCAUCUCCCCAGGUUUCUCUGAGUGUGAGAUAGAUGGUCAAGGACUAAUUGGCAGAGCUGUGAUCUCUCUGCUAUGUAGCACCCAGCAUGGGGACUCAGGAGAUUGGCCGUGUGUGUGUGUGUGUGUGUGUAUGUGUGUGUGUGUGUGUGUGUGUGUGUGUGUGUGUGUGUGUGUGUGUGUGUGUAUGUGUGUGUGUGUGUGUUUGGCAGCAGUCAUCCAUCGACAGCUGAGGGAAAUUAGGCUAUCGGUGCCUUCUUUGAGCUAGGCAACAUGGAUGGAAAUGUAGCCUUCCAAACACAACAGAAAAAAAAAAAAAAAGGCAGGGUAACACAAAGCUGUCAGUUGGAGAUCAGAUUCUCUGAGGAGAAGGUGGGCCUAGCUGGAACAAAUGGGACUCACUGAGUGACACCUAAGUCAGGGCCACAUUAAUCUAUGCUUCAGUCUACUUACUGUUCCCUCAGCACAGGAAGCAGCAGAAAACCAGGAGGCAAAUGGCUUGAGCCUUGCCUCCCACGCCCUACCCCUCUCUCUCUGGGUACUCUUUUCUUUCCUCUGCCUGGUGUAUAUCCUGAACACACCAUUCAAUUCCAGUUGAACUUGUAGUUAGAUCAGACCAAUAGUUGGCUAACUUGCCAACAGGGACAUAGCCCAGUAGGCUGGAAGUUCUCUAGAGGCCUUGAGGUUGGACAGGUCUAGGCAAGGCCCUUGGAAGUCAGGAGGUUUCUUUCACCCAAGUGCAAAGAAAGGUGUGUCAUCAUUAAAGCCACACGUUGCUUUUUACUGUUAGCAGGGGACAUAGGACUAAUGACUGACUGGAAGCUGGUCCCUUUGCUGCCCAUCUCCUAGUUAGUGCUCUCCACACAGGCGCUGUUGCAAAGGCUCAGGAGAGCACCUCUGGUACCUUGCUCCCUCCACUAACAGUUGCAAGACCAAGAAAGUCUGAAGACAAAAGUGCUUCCCAGCAACGAUUCUUCAGAAGAGUGUCUUACUAUUUCUAAACAAAAGGUUUCUGUACCAUUGAGCCAUCAACAAAUGGCCACAACCCAGCAUCUCUUCAAACUGGGAACCAACGAGCCUUCUGGUUCCUUGCUUUGCUUUUUGGGGGAGGAGGAAGAAGUCAUUUGGUUGUUUGGUUAGUUGGUUUGAUUUGGUUUGGUUUGGGGUUGGUUGGUUUGGUUUGGUUUGGUUUGGUUUGGUUUGGUUUGGUUUGGUUUGGUUUUGCAAAGUCUUACCAAAUAGCCAAGUAGCCCAAGCUAGCCCUAUGCUUGUGGCGGGCCUUACCUCAGUUUUCACAGAGCUGAGAUCGCAGGUUCCUGCCACCAUGCCUGGUGUGCAGCUUUAUUUUGAGGAGAGCAUCUGCAUAAAGAUUCUCUGGGCCCUCAAAGACUGCUCUAGUUUUUAAAUUAGUAAUUUGCCUGGAACUAUUGCUUUCACAUUUCAGGAAAUGAAUACCCUCCCACUUAAAGUUCGAUUCUUUUUUUUUCCACCGUUCUGAGCUGCCUGAGUGCUGGUCUUACGGCCUGGAUUCAGUCACCAUGUGUGAGUGUGGCAUGGAUCCAUUUAAUGAGUGAAGUCAUGAUUGGAGGCUGAGUCAGAACUUUAAACGGCACACUGGAGCCCAAAGUCAGGGUGUCCUGUGAAAGUGGACCCAGGGCACCUCUCCAGAGGCAAGGGUUGGGAAGUGGUGGAGCUGAGAGCAAGCAAACAGAAACAGACCCACCGGCAAAGCCGACA